RNAcentral lists this ribosomal RNA (253 nucleotides) under uncultured bacterium. RNAcentral describes it as "partial 16S ribosomal RNA". It matches the Rfam family "Bacterial small subunit ribosomal RNA", at positions 524 to 776 of the family's 1533-position model. The record is from RNAcentral.
UACAGAGGUCCCGAGCGUUGUUCGGACUCACUGGGCGUAAAGGGUGCGUAGGUGGUGAGGAAAGUCGGAUGUGAAAUCUCCGGGCUUAACCCGGAAACUGCAUUGGAAACUACCUUGCUAGAGGUUUUGAGGGGGGACUGGAAUUCUCGGUGUAGCAGUGAAAUGCGUAGAUAUCGAGAGGAACACCAGUGGCGAAGGCGAGUCCCUGGAAAACACCUGACACUGAGGCACGAAGGCCAGGGGAGCAAACGGG